This 194-nucleotide ribosomal RNA is filed under the name uncultured bacterium. RNAcentral's name for it is "partial 16S ribosomal RNA". It matches the Rfam family "Bacterial small subunit ribosomal RNA", at positions 338 to 524 of the family's 1533-position model. RNAcentral also lists the same sequence under 1 other name. The record is from RNAcentral.
CCUACGGGAGGCAGCAGUGGGGAAUUUUGGACAAUGGGCGAAAGCCUGAUCCAGCAAUGCCGCGUGCAGGAUGAAGGCCUUCGGGUUGUAAACUGCUUUUGUACGGAACGAAAAGCUUUGGGUUAAUACCCUGGAGUCAUGACGGUACCGUAAGAAUAAGCACCGGCUAACUACGUGCCAGCAGCCGCGGUAAU